RNAcentral lists this long non-coding RNA (288 nucleotides) under Nicotiana benthamiana. RNAcentral's name for it is "long non-coding RNA (NBEN_LNC005185)". Lineage: Eukaryota; Viridiplantae; Streptophyta; Magnoliopsida; Solanales; Solanaceae. The record is from RNAcentral.
UCGAAUAUUUGAGUGUUACAAUCUUUAUGAAUUCUCUGAUUCUUCUUUUCGAUAGUAAAUAAAUUCAAGAGCCUUUGAGCUUGAUCUUGAAUACGUAGUUGUCGCCACGAACCAUGAUCUUGUUCUUGAGCUUUAGCUUGAUUGCUUGAACUUGAUAUUGAUUCGUUCUUCGUUCUUGAGCUUGAACUUGAUUGUUCUUCGUUCUUGAGCUUGAACUUGAUUGCUUGAAGCUUGAAACUUGCGGAGGAAUUUGCAGUGUUUGAUCCAUGAGUUCUUUCCUGCUUCUUG